RNAcentral lists this small nuclear RNA (146 nucleotides) under Rosa chinensis. RNAcentral describes it as "sRNA RchiOBHm_Chr4g0423731". It matches the Rfam family "U1 spliceosomal RNA". Rfam says of the family: U1 is a small nuclear RNA (snRNA) component of the spliceosome (involved in pre-mRNA splicing). Its 5' end forms complementary base pairs with the 5' splice junction, thus defining the 5' donor site of an intron. The record is from RNAcentral. Lineage: Eukaryota; Viridiplantae; Streptophyta; Magnoliopsida; Rosales; Rosaceae.
GUACUUACCUGGACGGAGGUCAAUGUGUGAUCAAUAAGAUUCAUAACCUAGGCUAAUGACUUCCAUUGCAAUUUGGAGGGCUGCUCGCUUGGGUAGAACCCACGUCAUAAUUUGUUACUGGUACUUGCGUCCCUUGCAAAAAUUAU